Molecule: ribosomal RNA, 252 nt
Filed under: uncultured bacterium
Lineage: Bacteria
Description: partial 16S ribosomal RNA
Rfam family: Bacterial small subunit ribosomal RNA
Source: RNAcentral
UACGUAGGGUGCAAGCGUUAAUCGGAAUUACUGGGCGUAAAGCGUGCGCAGGCGGUUGUGUAAGACAGAUGUGAAAUCCCCGGGCUCAACCUGGGAACUGCAUUUGUGACUGCACGGCUCGAGUGCGGCAGGGGGGAUGGAAUUCCGCGUGUAGCAGUGAAAUGCGUAGAUAUGCGGAGGAACACCGAUGGCGAAGGCAAUCCCCUGGGCCUGCACUGACGCUCAUGCACGAAAGCGUGGGGAGCAAACAGG